Long non-coding RNA from Lingula anatina, 358 nucleotides. NCBI's taxonomy places the organism in Eukaryota, Metazoa, Brachiopoda, Lingulata, Lingulida, Lingulidae. The record is from RefSeq and is a predicted model, not a curated record.
AACCCAUUGUAAGCUUCAUCUGCAUCUGGCAUUGGUAAGUACCCUUAACACGAAAAGGCAGGCAGUGCAAAUCAGCAGCAAGAGCAGUGCUAUGUGUUAUCCAUGUGAACAAUACUUGAUAUGUUGCAAGAUUUAGGACAUUGUCAAAAAUUGUCCUAACAGGCGGAUUCCAGAAACCCAUUAGUACCCUUAACACGAAAAGGCAGGCAGAGCAAAUCAGCAGCAAGAGCAGUGCUAUGUCUUAUCCAUGUGAACAAUACAUGAUAUGUUGCAAGAUUUAGGACAUUGUCAAAAAUUGUGCUAACAGGCGGAUUCCAGAAACCCUUUGUAAGACGUCAUCUGCAUCUGGCAUUGGUAG